GACUCGGUGGUGGAUGGACCGCGCCCGUACAAUGUGUGAUCUAUGGAAUAGUAUCAUCUAGCGGGAGGCGCCUGUUCGACUCAGGCCCGAGUCA
This is a non-coding RNA of Mycena latifolia, 94 nucleotides long. NCBI's taxonomy places the organism in Eukaryota, Fungi, Basidiomycota, Agaricomycetes, Agaricales, Mycenaceae. The record is from the annotation of a GenBank genome assembly.